Molecule: small RNA, 134 nt
Filed under: Salmonella enterica subsp. enterica serovar Muenchen
Lineage: Bacteria; Pseudomonadati; Pseudomonadota; Gammaproteobacteria; Enterobacterales; Enterobacteriaceae
Also listed under: 31 other names
Description: RtT sRNA
Rfam family: RtT RNA
About the family: This family represents a bacterial cis-regulatory element known as RtT RNA.
Source: RNAcentral
UGUAUCUGAAGCCUGACGAGGAUGAGAACCUCCGGGGGCAGGAGGUUCGACCCGAGCGAAGCGAGAGAACGUUGCGUCAGCAACGGCCCGCAGGGCGAGCCACGCAGUGGCGAGUCAUCCUCUAUCACCGACCA